GUCCACGCCCUAAACGAUGUCUACUAGUUGUCGGGUCUUAAUUGACUUGGUAACGCAGCUAACGCGUGAAGUAGACCGCCUGGGGGAGUACGGUCGCAAGAUUAAAACUCAAAGGAAUUGACGGGGGCCCGCACAAGCGGUGGAACAUGUGGUUUAAUUCGACACUACGCGAGGAACCUUACCUAGGCUUGACAUGCAUUUGACAGCUCUAGAAACAGAGUCUUCAAGGCUUCGGUCUUGACAGAUGCACAGGUGCUGCAUGGCUGUCGU
RNAcentral lists this ribosomal RNA (270 nucleotides) under uncultured bacterium. Its description in RNAcentral is "partial 16S ribosomal RNA". It matches the Rfam family "Bacterial small subunit ribosomal RNA", at positions 793 to 1055 of the family's 1533-position model. The record is from RNAcentral.